Salmo salar (Atlantic salmon) is the source of this 54-nucleotide non-coding RNA. NCBI's taxonomy places the organism in Eukaryota, Metazoa, Chordata, Actinopteri, Salmoniformes, Salmonidae. The record is from Rfam.
UGAAUUCACUACUGUAAGUCGCUCUGGAUAAGAGCUUCUGCUAAAUGACUAAAA